Molecule: ribosomal RNA, 253 nt
Filed under: uncultured bacterium
Lineage: Bacteria
Description: partial 16S ribosomal RNA
Rfam family: Bacterial small subunit ribosomal RNA
Source: RNAcentral
UACGUAGGGAGCAAGCGUUGUUCGGAUUUACUGGGCGUAAAGGGCGCGUAGGCGGCGCGGUAAGUCACUUGUGAAAUCUCUGAGCUUAACUCAGAACGGCCAAGUGAUACUGCAGUGCUAGAGUGCAGAAGGGGCAAUCGGAAUUCUUGGUGUAGCGGUGAAAUGCGUAGAUAUCAAGAGGAACACCUGAGGUGAAGGCGGGUUGCUGGGCUGACACUGACGCUGAAGCGCGAAAGCCAGGGGAGCAAACGGG